Molecule: long non-coding RNA, 253 nt
Organism: Astyanax mexicanus (Mexican tetra)
Lineage: Eukaryota; Metazoa; Chordata; Actinopteri; Characiformes; Acestrorhamphidae
Exons: 3
Source: RefSeq, a predicted model, not a curated record
AGUGUGAGGUUGGAGGUUGAGGAUUGGUUAGUGUGAGGUUGGAGGUUGAGGAUUGGUUAGUGUGAUGUUGGAGGUUGAGGAUUGGUUAGUGUGAGGUUGGAGGUUGAGGAUUGGUAAGGUGUGAGGUUGGAGGUUGAGGAUUGGUAAGGUGUGAGGUUGGAGGUUGAGGAUUGGUAAGGUGUGAGGUUGGAGGUUGAGGAUUGGUAAGGUGUGAGGUUGGAGGUUGAGGAUUGGUAAGGUGUGAGGUUGGAGG